RNAcentral lists this ribosomal RNA (305 nucleotides) under uncultured bacterium. RNAcentral's name for it is "bacterial SSU rRNA". It matches the Rfam family "Bacterial small subunit ribosomal RNA", at positions 335 to 656 of the family's 1533-position model. The record is from RNAcentral.
UUCCCUAGGGAGGCAGCAGUGGGGGAUAUUGGACAAUGGGGGAAACCCUGAUCCAGCGACGCCGCGUGAGUGAAGAAGUAUUUCGGUAUGUAAAGCCCUAUCAGCAGGGAAGAAGAAAUGACGGUACCUGAGUAAGAAGCACCGGCUAAAUACGUGCCAGCAGCCGCGGUAAUACGUAUGGUGCAAGCGUUAUCCGGAUUUACUGGGUGUAAAGGGAGCGCAGGCGGCACGGCAAGCCUGAUGUGAAAGCCCGCGGCCCAACCGCGGGACUGCAUUGGGAACUACCGGGCUGGAGUGCCGGAGAG